RNAcentral lists this ribosomal RNA (253 nucleotides) under uncultured bacterium. Its description in RNAcentral is "partial 16S ribosomal RNA". It matches the Rfam family "Bacterial small subunit ribosomal RNA", at positions 524 to 776 of the family's 1533-position model. The record is from RNAcentral.
UACGGAAGGGGCAAGCGUUGUUCGGAAUCAUUGGGCGUAAAGGGCGCGUAGGUGGUUCUGUAUGUCUACCGUGAAAGCGUACGGCUCAACCGUAUUUUGUCGGUAGAAACUGCAGGACUUGAGGCUGGGAGGGGCUGGUGGAAUUCCCUGUGUAGCGGUGAAAUGCGCAGAUAUCAGGAGGAACACCGAUGGCGAAGGCAGGUCUCUGGGCCACUACUGACGCUGAGAAGCGAAAGCAUGGGGAGCGAACAGG